UUGUUAUAAGUUUAUUUAAGGUUUCUUUUGUCUCUUUCGUGCGACAAAAGAGAACACGGCGAUCUCCACGAAGAGGACGACGGAGGCAACGGCGACAGCGAAGAGGGCGACGGAGGCAACGGCGAUCUCCACGAAGAGGGCGAUAGAGGAACGGCGAUCUCCACGGCAAAUCUCAGCUCGCGCUCACCUUCGCCAAGAUCAGCGUAUCGGUCGAGGACCUCGCCUCCUUGCCACCCGUCGCUGACGCCGGCGCGGAGAAGAAGGCCGAGCGACUCGCUCUUAGGGUUGGCGAGAACCUCUUCAAUUUCAUGCAGUCCUUCUGCGGGAUUGACGGAAGUCGGCUCGUCGUGCCCAUGGAUAUCCUUGACCGGUGGUUCAAGAAGUUCCAGGAGCGAGCCCGGAAGGAUCCCAGUUACCUCAAAGGUUUUGCCUUGUGACAGACAGGUGCAACAACUUGAAAGACACAAAGAUAUUGACAAACACAUAAACCAUCAUUUCUUAUUACGAGAUGAAGAG
This is a long non-coding RNA of Zingiber officinale, 516 nucleotides long. RefSeq lists it as uncharacterized. NCBI's taxonomy places the organism in Eukaryota, Viridiplantae, Streptophyta, Magnoliopsida, Zingiberales, Zingiberaceae. The transcript is spliced from 3 exons. The record is from RefSeq and is a predicted model, not a curated record.